This 458-nucleotide ribosomal RNA is filed under the name uncultured bacterium. RNAcentral describes it as "partial 16S ribosomal RNA". It matches the Rfam family "Bacterial small subunit ribosomal RNA", at positions 338 to 795 of the family's 1533-position model. The record is from RNAcentral.
CCUACGGGGCGCAGCAGUGAGGAAUAUUGGUCAAUGGGCGAGAGCCUGAACCAGCCAAGUCGCGUGAGGGAGUACUGCCCUAUGGGUUGUAAACCUCUUUUGUCGGGGAGCAAAAGCCGGACGUGUCCGGCUGUGAGAGUACCCGAAGAAAAAGCAUCGGCUAACUCCGUGCCAGCAGCCGCGGUAAUACGGAGGAUGCGAGCGUUAUCCGGAUUUAUUGGGUUUAAAGGGUGCGCAGGCGGAUUUUUAAGUCAGCGGUAAAAUCGUGGGGCUCAACCCCAUCCAGCCGUUGAAACUGGGGAUCUAGAGUGUGCGAGAGGUAUGCGGAAUGCGUGGUGUAGCGGUGAAAUGCAUAGAUAUCACGCAGAACCCCGAUUGCGAAGGCAGCAUACCGGUGCACAACUGACGCUCAGGCACGAAAGCGUGGGUAUCGAACAGGAUUAGAUACCCUUGUAGUC